GUGAAAUUCAAGGCAGAUGGGACCAUUGAAAGGUAUAAGGCUCCACUUGUGGCUAAAGGUUAUACUCAAAGGGUUGGUUUUGAUUAUCAAGAGACCUCUAGUCUUGUGGCUAAACACACAACUGUGAGAACUUUUCUUGCUCUUGCAGCUGUAUAUGGUUGUUUAUAAUGCCUUCUUGAAUGGAGAUUUGUUAGAAGAGGUGUAUAUGGAGAUUCCUUCGGGCUAUGACCUUAAGGUGGAGUAUGAAGACACAUCUAAUCUUGUGUGUAAGUUGUAGAAAUCUUUAUAUGGCUUAAAACAAGCCUCCAGGCAAUGGAAUAUAAAUUUUACAGAUAGCUUGUUGAAGGAAGGAUUUCUUCAGUCCAAAGCUGAUAAUUCCCUGUUCACUAAACAAACAGCUGAUGGUUUUGUUGCUUUGCUUGGGUAUGUGGACGAUAUUAUAAUUGGCAGUAGUAACGAAGUCUUGAUUGAUCAAUUGAAAACUGGUUUGAGCUCAUAUUUCAAGUUGAAGGAUUUGGGAAAGUUACAAUACUUUCUAGGUCUCGAAAUUGCUAGAUCUAGUAAAGGGAUUGUUGUCUCAAAGAAA
This 586-nucleotide unclassified non-coding RNA is filed under the name Hevea brasiliensis (rubber tree). The record is from RNAcentral. Lineage: Eukaryota; Viridiplantae; Streptophyta; Magnoliopsida; Malpighiales; Euphorbiaceae.